Molecule: non-coding RNA, 1049 nt
Organism: Vicugna pacos (alpaca)
Lineage: Eukaryota; Metazoa; Chordata; Mammalia; Artiodactyla; Camelidae
Source: RefSeq, a predicted model, not a curated record
UACCAGAUACCGUCCUGGGCACUGGAGAUACAGGGGUGAACCAGGAAGAGAAGGUCUUACUUUCUGGAGCUUACAUCCCAGGCAUGGAAGCAGAUGACAGACACAUCAGCAUCAUUUCGACAGCUUGCCAGUGGAUUAGUUGUUCAGCAAGGAAAUGUGAGAGGAGAGGCGAAGUCUCCAUUUCCUCAUCUGUGAAAUGGGUGUGUUUUUUGGACUUUCACGUCCUUUCAUUUUGAUGACUUGAGUCAACGGGAAGUUCCAGAGAAAAUAUAAAGGCUGCAGACCAACUCUUCUAAAUCCCAAAGUCCUAAGUCCUUUGUGACCUGGUCUUGCUUGUGUUUCCAUCCUCCUGUUUACCUACUGCUUACCUGGACUUGUACAUCUGGUGCCCAGUAAAUGCCCACUGAAGGAAGGAGAGCCCCCCUCCCUAGCUCAGCACUCCCUCCUGCGUACCCCACCUUGCUGUCCCCUAGGGGGCACUGCUCCCCCUUGAACACUUGGCCCGAGUCAGGAGGAGCAGCUCUGUUCAUUGUUCCCUUGAGCAGAGCUGAGACAGGCUGACAUUUCCACAAAGCGCAUCGCUGAAAAUGUGCGAGGGGCUGGGGAAAUAAACAAGGAAAACGCAGGAAUGCAUAAAAUGUUCGUGUUUUCUCAUGAUCCUCAGAAUUCCAACCACAGUGGCCGAGAGCUUUGCUAGGCGCAAGUCUAGCUGGCUUCUGCUGGAUCUCUGUCUGAGCCUCUCCCCUCCCCAUCUCUGUGUGGCCAGGGCCAGCUGUUUUCCGUACUGAAGGACACUUUGCUCCCUUCCCAGGACUGUAAUGGAAAGCCUCUCCCUUUAAUGAAUUUCAGUGCUUUUCCUGAGUCAAGCACCUCUCCCAUGUUCAAGACACUCUCACGUUGAUCUAAAGCAUCCGCACCAGGAGACCCUAGACUUACUCAUCCCUCAUAACUGCAACUCUGUACCCUUGGACCAGCAUCUCCGCCUUUCUUCUCCCUCCCCCAAAAAUUACUACUCUGCUUUCUGCUUCCACGUACUCAACUUUCUUAGA